ACGGAUUCCGGCUUUGUCACCAGGCUGGAGUGCGCUGGCCCAAUCUUGGCUUACUGCAGCCUCCACCUCCUGGGUUCAAGCGAUUCUUCCUCCUCAGCCUCCGGAGUAUCUGGGACCACAGGGAUCCGUAAUACAGUUGGCCCCUAAUUGAAUGGAAGCAUCACUUUCAAAGCAUCACUGCAGGAUGAGUAUUUUGUGUCAAGUGGAUUCAAGGGACAGUGCGAAGGAUCCAUGGCCUCAGUCGUGAAGACCCUCCCAAGAGCCAACCGUCCUGGGCACAUAUAAAUGAGUGGAGACAUGGAACUCACCCUUACAAGGCCUAGAACCUGACAGAGCAUACAAGACUGAAGCCCAAAUAACCAAGAACAGGAAGCUGAAGUCCCCUUAUAGGUCACCUAUGGGGAAUUGCCUAGGCCCCAGGGCUGGCCUCAUUUGUGCCUGGUGCCGGGAGGCAGUGGCAUCAUGUUGUGGGACUCAGUCUGUGGCAGCUACACCACCAGAAUCCACGACUGCAGAGCCUGCCAUUUUACAUCCCGGAGUGGUGGAGGUCCAGCACGUGCAGCCCAAGUCAAAGCGGCGCAAAGGUUUGGCUGGCCGUGUGAGGAGCUGGGUACAAAAACGGAGGCGUAAAAAAAAUUGCCCCACUGCAAAUGAAGCUCCUCUUCAAGACCCAAAGGAGUUUACACGUGAAAACCUUAAGGAGACAUCACCUGACAUAGAGAAGCCUGCAGCCCAGUAUCGCCACUGUGGUGUUCAGGUCUCAGAGGACCUCAUUUUGCAAGACAUGGAAGACCAUGAGCUACCCCGUGAUGUGGAGAAGCCCGCCGCUUGGUGUCACCGCCGUCCCGUUGAGGUCCCACAGGACCUCAUAUUAGAAGACAUUGAGGAUGAUGAGCUACCCCGUGAUGUGGAGAAGCCCGCCGCUUGGUGUCACCGCCGUACGUAUUCUUUUUCUUUUAAACAGUUACCGAGACGUAGUGCGUAUGCAAACAAAUUCACUUAUUUAAAGUAG
Molecule: long non-coding RNA, 1012 nt
Filed under: Callithrix jacchus (white-tufted-ear marmoset)
Lineage: Eukaryota; Metazoa; Chordata; Mammalia; Primates; Cebidae
Description: lncRNA (ENSCJAG00000067051.2)
Source: RNAcentral